GACGAACGCUGGCGGCGUGCUUAACACAUGCAAGUCGAACGGAAAGGCCUUUUCGGAGGUACUCGAGUGGCGAACGGGUGAGUAACACGUGGGUGAUCUGCCCUGCACUCUGGGAUAAGCCUGGGAAACUGGGUCUAAUACCGGAUAGGACCGCACUUUAGUGUGUGUGGUGGAAAGUUUUUUCGGUGUAGGAUGAGCCCGCGGCCUAUCAGCUUGUUGGUGGGGUAAUGGCCUACCAAGGCGGCGACGGGUAGCCGGACUGAGAGGUUGGUCGGCCACAUUGGGACUGAGAGACGGCCCAGACUCCGACGGGAGGCAGCAGUGGGGAAUAUUGCACAAUGGGCGCAAGCCUGAUGCAGCGACGCCGCGGGGGGGAUGACGGCCUUCGGGUUGUAAACUCCUUUCGCCAGGGACGAAGCGUUUUGUGACGGUACCUGGAGAAGAAGCACCGGCUAACUACGUG
Molecule: ribosomal RNA, 463 nt
Filed under: uncultured bacterium
Lineage: Bacteria
Description: partial 16S ribosomal RNA
Rfam family: Bacterial small subunit ribosomal RNA
Source: RNAcentral